CAUAGAAAUGUAUCUGUAUGCAGAAUAACAAAUGAGAUGCUAGAACUUACGGGAAUUUUUUGACUGGCUUUACUCUCCAAAGUGGUCUGUUGAUCUGAGUGCUCAGUAUUUCUGUACAUAGCUCUUUUAUGUUCUGAUGUGUAUAGUGCACAAAUUAACUUUUCAUUCAGGACGUGUAUUUCUAGGCACAUCCCGGGUAUGGAAAUCCUUUGGGCUACAUGCUGGAAGUGAGGCCCAGUUUCUGUGGCACGCUGCCACAUCUCUUUUGAUUAGGAAGCUAACGGCUGGAUAACUUCUGAAAACAGGAAGAGAUGUGUGGGAAAGCUUCCAACACUGAUCGCAAAAUGGCUGCCGCUUCACCUCACUUGCAGCAGUCUGGAAGCCAACAAGAACAGGAAAAGCAUUUUGGUGAAGGACUUCAGCUGGCUGAGCACACCAAGUGGGAUGUUUCAUUGGGAAAGAAAAAGGGAUAAAGGAAAGGCUUCUCAAGACCUCUGAAUGGAGGUAAGGAAAGCUGGAAAUGGUGUUGAGAUUCCCACCAACUGACAUUAUAUAAAGGCAGGAGGUCUUAGGGAAGAUCUAGUUCAGCUCUUGAUCUGAAGUCACUGAGGAGAGAAUGGAUCAGAAGGAGUUUGGAUUUAGGUGAAGUGUCAAUAGGAUCAUCAAUAGGCAGAGAAACAGGAGAAUAUUAUAGGGUACAUAAAGGCACUUCUAAUUUGUAAUCAUUAGAUUGCCAAGCUGCAUUGCAGCUGAGUAGUAGUGUGCCUGCAGAAAAAAUGAUGUGGAUGGAAGUAGAGAGCUAGCAGAAAUCCUUUCUGCAUCAGUGCCCUGGAGUUUACCCAGCUUGUAUAGCUGUGUAGAGCUGAAGUUCUGUUUUUAAUAGCAAGAUGAACCCAAGUAUCAGUUAAAUAUGAAUUAACCUGUCUACUACCCAGUACACAUGUAAUUCUUGUGUACUGACAUGAAGGCAAGCUAGGGAAAAAACACAGUUACUGACCUAGUACAGGUGACAAAAAGAGUUGCGACUGUACUUGCAGUCUUUUAAAUGGUAAGAACUGUUACUAAUUUGCAUUAUUUAUAGUCCAGUUUCCCCUAAAGUUUUCAAUGAGAAUUAAUGUAAAAGAUUUUGUAAAAAUAUUCAUUAAGUAGAGACAAUUCAAUUUAGAAGACUGGUUAAAUUAAUUUUACCUUGAAUACUAUGCUCCCAAAUCCCCAUAAAAUUUAAUCUUCAGUUACAAUAGAAGGUGAUUUUUGGAAAAACAUUUUGCAUUCUUCAUGUGAAAACAUACUAUUUCAUUUAUCUUUAUCUCCUCUUUUGACUGUACAGUUUCUUGUACCUUCAAAAAGUGACAAUAGUAAUUGCAAAUGUUCAGGCCAGAGUCAGAAGACAAAACAACAUAUAAUUUCUACUGU
This 1413-nucleotide long non-coding RNA is filed under the name Coturnix japonica (Japanese quail). Its description in RNAcentral is "lncRNA (ENSCJPG00005006577.1)". Lineage: Eukaryota; Metazoa; Chordata; Aves; Galliformes; Phasianidae. The record is from RNAcentral.